Molecule: long non-coding RNA, 1050 nt
Filed under: Bos grunniens (domestic yak)
Lineage: Eukaryota; Metazoa; Chordata; Mammalia; Artiodactyla; Bovidae
Description: lncRNA (ENSBGRG00000017218.1)
Source: RNAcentral
GGAAAAUAUUUGCAGGGCAGGACUAGAAAUGCAGACAUAGAGAACAGAGUUGUGGACACAGUGGGUGAAGCAGAGGGUGGGACGAGUUGAGAGAAUAGUAUUGAAAUAUGUACAUUCAGUUCAGUUCAGUCUCUCAGUCGUGUCCGACUCUUCGCGACCCCAUGAAUCGCAGCACGCCAGGCCUCCCUGUCCAUCACCAACUCCCGGAGUUCACCCAGACUCACGUCCAUCAUUCCAUAUGCAAAACAGACAGGGGGAAGUAGCUGUGUAACACAAGAAGCUCAACCGAGUGCUCUGUGACAACCUAGAGGGGUGGGAUGGGGUGGGGAGUGGAAGACAGGAGACGUAUGUGUAUUUAUGGCUGAUUCACGUUGUUGUGUGGCAGAAACCAACACAACAUUGUAAAGCAAUUAUCCUCCAGUUAAAAAAAAAUGCAUAGAGAAAAAAAUCCAGGUUAUUUCUCCUAUAAUUGUUCAAGCUUGUGUAACAGUUUGGAACAUUAUUAGUAGAUAAUCCCCCUCUCCCUUUCUCUCUCUAGAUGGAAGGAAAGUUUGGUACCAAGUGAUGUUCAAUGCCCCAGCUGGAAACAUUUACCUUGUUUAGAUCCAACUUCAGGAAAGUUUGGGAUGCUGUCUCUGCACGCCGUGUCUUUGAUCUCAGUUCUCAAGUGUGCCCACGGAAGCAGGCCUGAGGGAUGUGACCCCACCACAGAAUACCUGGAGUACGGAAAGAUUCCCAUUUAGAGACAUGCAUCAUUUCUCAUCAUAGAAGCUCAUGAAACCCAUCUUUUGCUGUCUGACAAGGUGCCUAAGCAUUGUUCCUGGGGAGACCAGAAGCAAGACAUGGUCCUUGGCUGUUUAUUUCUACACCUCUCUGUCGCCCUCCCCUGGAUGCACUCUGAGUAUCUUGAGGGCAGAGUGCCUUUCAGAUCAUGUUUUAAAACCUUCCCCGUCUGGCGUUGGGAACGCAGCCGCGGCUUGGUGGUGGAUAGCAAGAGGCAAAGGCAGCAGAAGCCAAAAGAGAGGAUCCCAUCUGCUCAAGGCCAAGUGA